This 1541-nucleotide unclassified non-coding RNA is filed under the name Hevea brasiliensis (rubber tree). Lineage: Eukaryota; Viridiplantae; Streptophyta; Magnoliopsida; Malpighiales; Euphorbiaceae. The record is from RNAcentral.
UGUUAGAAAUCCAUUUGCCUGUGACAUUCUUAUUACCCAUCUAAUAUACCAACAUAAACAAGUGCCCACACCCGCUCGCUCUCAUCCAUUUUUCUACGAUUUAUUAGAAAUCCAAUACGCUGUCCCCUCUCUCUCCCUCUCUCAAUCUUACAAGCCGAAAUCGCCAAAUGGGUAUUUCGAUACCACAAUCUGGAAAAAUAGGUGUACUGUGUGAGAGGAUGCUCUUGAUUGAACUGGUAAUCAAACUGCAGCUUCAAUCUACAAGGAAGCUUGAGCAAUUUCUAGAGCCUCUUCAACCGACGAUGCAUUUUGAAGUUUGGCUAUGUCAACAGAGGGCUGGCUUCGUGCAAGUUUUGGAAGCAGUUGGAAUUCCUCAGGACUCCCACUUUCAAGAAGAACCCCCUUCAGCUUACCAGAGUCGAUCCAAAAUGUUGCAACCUUUGGAUCAAAAUUCCCAACUUCAACGGCCUCCCCAACAUUGUCACCAAAGAAUUGCCACCAUACUUUCCUAGAGCUUCCUUCAUAUUCAAAAACCCUUGAGUAGAAGUAUGGUAAAUAGUCAUACGUGUGCGUGUGUGCAGUUAGCAAUGAUUUAAUACAAUGCUGUGCAGAUUUACGAGCAUGGUCAACGUGCUCCACCCGUGCAAUUCGGUUGUAUAUCUUCAAUGGAAAUGCGGCAACAUCUCCAAUGGCAAAGAUUCCAGGUAUGUUUGUUCGGAACUGUCCGUCAACCUCUAUUCCACCGACAGUGUUGUUUAAGCCAACCAUGUCAAAUGGACUGACGGCAGGUUUUGCUCCAAUACCAAUAACAACCGUGUCUGUCUCUAUACUUGAUCCAUCUUCAAGCUUAACUGCAGUUACCCGGCUAUCUGGACCAGAUUCUAGAUGUUUUAUCUUAGCACCCUUGACGAAUUUGACACCACUGUCUUGGUAGAGUUGUUCAUACUUUUGGGCAAGAGAAGGAGUGAACAGUCUUGAUAAGAGAUGCUCUUCUGGAAAAAUUAUAGUUGUAUCAAGUUUCCAGGCUACGGCAGCUGCAGCAACUUCCAUUCCUAUAUAACCACCACCAACAACUACAAGUUUUUUUGCUUUCCCCAGUGAGGAUAUUAAUGAAUCAGCAUCUGCCACAUCCCGAAUAUAGUGAACCCCAGGUAAAUUUCCUCCGAUCUUCUCAGGAAAUCUGGAUGCCGUACAUCCGGUUGCAAUAAUAAGGGUGCCAUACUUGAGCAGCUUUCCUGAAUUUGUUGUCAGAGUUUGCUUUUCUAUAUCAAUUCCUGUUACUGGAUCUUCAUACAACAUCUCUAUCCCUUGUUCCUUGUACCAAUCAGGUGUUUGCCUCUCACCACCAGCGCCAACACAAGUAUGAAAGCCCGGUAAACGUGCUGGCUUUUUGUCCAGAGGAAACAAGUAUGCUUUGGUCAAUGCUGGACGUUCAUAUGGUGCAUAUGGCUCUUUGGUCACAAUGCAUAACUUUCCAUUAGCUUGUCCAUGCUCAACAAAAGUUCUAGCAGCAUAUCCAGCUGCAUUUCCUCCUCCAACUA